UGUUAAAAAUUACAUCUAUUUGUACUGUUAAAAACUGGUGUAUGCAAUAUGGCGUGCCAUAUUUACCUCAUGUUAAGGUACAAUGACCAGUUUUCAACAGCAAAAAUGGAUGAAAUUUUAAACA
This is a non-coding RNA of Gossypium hirsutum (cotton), 124 nucleotides long. The record is from Rfam. Lineage: Eukaryota; Viridiplantae; Streptophyta; Magnoliopsida; Malvales; Malvaceae.